AGAGUUUGAUCCUGGCUCAGGAUGAACGCUGGCGGCGUGCUUAACACAUGCAAGUCGAACGAACCUUCGGGUUAGUGGCGGACGGGUGAGUAACGCGUGAGAAUCUGCCCUCAGGAGGGGGAUAACGGUUGGAAACGACCGCUAAUACCCCAUAUGCCGCGAGGUGAAAUGAAUUUCGCCUGAGGAUGAGCUCGCGUCUGAUUAGUUAGUUGGUGGGGUAAAGGCCUACCAAGACAUCGAUCAGUAGCUGGUCUGAGAGGAUGAUCAGCCACACUGGGACUGAGACACGGCCCAGGCUCCUACGGGAGGCAGCAGUGGGGAAUUUUCCGCAAUGGGCGAAAGCCUGACGGAGCAACGCCGCGUGAGGGAUGAAGGCCUCUGGGCUGUAAACCUCUUUUAUCAAGGAAGAAGAUCUGACGGUACUUGAUGAAUAAGCCACGGCUAAUUCCGUGCCAGCAGCCGCGGUAAUACGGGAGUGGCAAGCGUUAUCCGGAAUUAUUGGGCGUAAAGCGUCCGCAGGCGGUCUGUCAAGUCUGCUGUUAAAGCGUGGAGCUUAACUCCAUUUCGGCAGUGGAAACUGACAGACUAGAGUGUGGUAGGGGCAGAGGGAAUUCCCGGUGUAGCGGUGAAAUGCGUAGAUAUCGGGAAGAACACCAGUGGCGAAGGCGCUCUGCUGGGCCAUAACUGACGCUCAUGGACGAAAGCCAGGGGAGCGAAAGGGAUUAGAUACCCCUGUAGUCCUGGCCGUAAACGAUGAACACUAGGUGUCGGGGGAAUCGACCCCCUCGGUGUCGUAGCCAACGCGUUAAGUGUUCCGCCUGGGGAGUACGCACGCAAGUGUGAAACUCAAAGGAAUUGACGGGGGCCCGCACAAGCGGUGGAGUAUGUGGUUUAAUUCGAUGCAACGCGAAGAACCUUACCAGGGUUUGACAUCCUGCGAAUCUCUUGGAAACGAGAGAGUGCCUUCGGGAACGCAGUGACAGGUGGUGCAUGGCUGUCGUCAGCUCGUGUCGUGAGAUGUUGGGUUAAGUCCCGCAACGAGCGCAACCCACGUCGUUAGUUGCCAGCAUUUAGUUGGGCACUCUAGCGAGACCGCCGGUGAUAAACCGGAGGAAGGUGUGGAUGACGUCAAGUCAUCAUGCCCCUUACAUCCUGGGCUACACACGUACUACAAUGCUACGGACAAAGGGCAGCAAACUCGCGAGAGCUAGCAAAUCCCAUAAACCGUGGCUCAGUUCAGAUCGUAGGCUGCAACUCGCCUACGUGAAGGAGGAAUCGCUAGUAAUCGCAGGUCAGCAUACUGCGGUGAAUACGUUCCCGGGCCUUGUACACGCCGCCCGUCACACCAUGGAAGUUGGCCACGCCCGAAGCCGUUACUCCAACCCUUGUGGAGGAGGACGUCGAAGGUGGGGCUGAUGACUGGGGUGAAGUCGUAACAAGGUA
This 1443-nucleotide ribosomal RNA is filed under the name uncultured cyanobacterium. RNAcentral describes it as "16S ribosomal RNA". It matches the Rfam family "Bacterial small subunit ribosomal RNA". The record is from RNAcentral. Lineage: Bacteria; Bacillati; Cyanobacteriota.